ACGGGGGGUGCAAGCGUUGUUCGGAUUCAUUGGGCGUAAAGAGCGUGUAGGCGGUUUGUUAAGUCAGAUGUGAAAGCCCUGGGCUCAACUUGGGAAGUGCAUUGGAAACUGGCAGACUUGAGUACGGGAGAGGGUAGUGGAAUUCCUAGUGUAGGAGUGAAAUCCGUAGAUAUGAGGAGGAACACCGGUGGCGAAGGCGGCUACCUGGACCGAUAUUGACGCUGAGACGCGAAAGCGUGGGGAGCAAACAG
Molecule: ribosomal RNA, 251 nt
Filed under: uncultured prokaryote
Description: partial 16S rRNA
Rfam family: Bacterial small subunit ribosomal RNA
Source: RNAcentral